This 253-nucleotide ribosomal RNA is filed under the name uncultured bacterium. RNAcentral describes it as "partial 16S ribosomal RNA". It matches the Rfam family "Bacterial small subunit ribosomal RNA", at positions 524 to 776 of the family's 1533-position model. The record is from RNAcentral.
UACAUGGGGUGCAAACGUUGCUCGGAAUUAUUGGGCGUAAAGCGCGCGUAGGCGGUUACUCAAGUCGGAUGUGAAAGCCCUCGGCUUAACUGAGGAAGUGCACCCGAAACUGAGUAGCUAGAGUACGAAAGAGGGUCGCGGAAUUCCCGGUGUAGAGGUGAAAUUCGUAGAUAUCGGGAGGAACACCGGUGGCGAAGGCGGCGACCUGGGUCGAGACUGACGCUGAGGCGCGAAAGCGUGGGGAGCAAACAGG